GAAAUACUGGACCAUUUCUUUCGCUCUUAGUAACUGCUGCAAACAUUUUCUUCAGCCAUUCUGGAGUCCUUUUGGAGAGAAAGGGUAUGUCAAAAUGGGUAGAUACAGCCAUAAGACCGGUUCCGGAAAGGUCACACAUGCUAAAAACCUGACCAACAAACGCUGGUCCACCUUUUCCGGUGGUGUUGAGCCCAGAAAUCCUUACCGACGAUGGAAAACCCGACCCGGAAUCCGAACGCAUGUUUACGAUGAGCUUAUCAGGGCAAUUGAAGAGAAGAAUCAGAGAAGGGCAAAGAGGAGAAGAUUCU
This 308-nucleotide unclassified non-coding RNA is filed under the name Hevea brasiliensis (rubber tree). Lineage: Eukaryota; Viridiplantae; Streptophyta; Magnoliopsida; Malpighiales; Euphorbiaceae. The record is from RNAcentral.